AAGUCGUAACAAGGUUUCCGUAGGUGAACCUGCCAUUAACACGUAUCCAACGUUAAACCCCCUGACGUUCAGAGAAAAAUUCAAGAAACGCCCCCUGGUAACUCACAUGUUUGUUAUGACUCUGUGGGACUUGCCUUUUUUGAAGGACGGAGUGUGGAUAGAUGCGGGUCGCAAGUAGGCUUGGUUGUAUGUCUGAAAGUGUCACCGAUUGACGGAUAACUGAUUCGCGAGAUGAAGAGGCCCCCUGGUACACAUGUUUGUUAUGACUCUGUGCCUCUUCGCGACCGAUCAGACCGUUUUGGCCACACGCCAAAAUUUUUCGGGCAAGUCUGGCUGUAAUGGCCCCGAUGUAAACUCCACAUUCGGGGGUGUCGAGGAAACAGGUUCUC
Molecule: unclassified non-coding RNA, 389 nt
Filed under: fungal sp.
Lineage: Eukaryota; Fungi
Description: partial internal transcribed spacer region
Source: RNAcentral